This 1370-nucleotide ribosomal RNA is filed under the name uncultured bacterium. Its description in RNAcentral is "bacterial SSU rRNA". It matches the Rfam family "Bacterial small subunit ribosomal RNA", at positions 28 to 1381 of the family's 1533-position model. The record is from RNAcentral.
GACGAACGCUGGCGGCGUGCCUAAUACAUGCAAGUAGAACGCUGAAGAAGAGGAGCUUGCUCUUCUUGGAUGAGUUGCGAACGGGUGAGUAACGCGUAGGUAACCUGCCUUGUAGCGGGGGAUAACUAUUGGAAACGAUAGCUAAUACCGCAUAACAAUGGAUGACACAUGUCAUUUAUUUGAAAGGGGCAAUUGCUCCACUACAAGAUGGACCUGCGUUGUAUUAGCUAGUAGGUGAGGUAACGGCUCACCUAGGCGACGAUACAUAGCCGACCUGAGAGGGUGAUCGGCCACACUGGGACUGAGACACGGCCCAGACUCCUACGGGAGGCAGCAGUAGGGAAUCUUCGGCAAUGGGGGCAACCCUGACCGAGCAACGCCGCGUGAGUGAAGAAGGUUUUCGGAUCGUAAAGCUCUGUUGUAAGUCAAGAACGAGUGUGAGAGUGGAAAGUUCACACUGUGACGGUAGCUUACCAGAAAGGGACGGCUAACUACGUGCCAGCAGCCGCGGUAAUACGUAGGUCCCGAGCGUUGUCCGGAUUUAUUGGGCGUAAAGCGAGCGCAGGCGGUUUGAUAAGUCUGAAGUUAAAGGCUGUGGCUCAACCAUAGUUCGCUUUGGAAACUGUCAAACUUGAGUGCAGAAGGGGAGAGUGGAAUUCCAUGUGUAGCGGUGAAAUGCGUAGAUAUAUGGAGGAACACCGGUGGCGAAAGCGGCUCUCUGGUCUGUAACUGACGCUGAGGCUCGAAAGCGUGGGGAGCGAACAGGAUUAGAUACCCUGGUAGUCCACGCCGUAAACGAUGAGUGCUAGGUGUUGGAUCCUUUCCGGGAUUCAGUGCCGCAGCUAACGCAUUAAGCACUCCGCCUGGGGAGUACGACCGCAAGGUUGAAACUCAAAGGAAUUGACGGGGGCCCGCACAAGUGGUGGAGCAUGUGGUUUAAUUCGAAGCAACGCGAAGAACCUUACCAGGUCUUGACAUCCCGAUGCUAUUUCUAGAGAUAGAAAGUUACUUCGGUACAUCGGUGACAGGUGGUGCAUGGUUGUCGUCAGCUCGUGUCGUGAGAUGUUGGGUUAAGUCCCGCAACGAGCGCAACCCCUAUUGUUAGUUGCCAUCAUUCAGUUGGGCACUCUAGCGAGACUGCCGGUAAUAAACCGGAGGAAGGUGGGGAUGACGUCAAAUCAUCAUGCCCCUUAUGACCUGGGCUACACACGUGCUACAAUGGUUGGUACAACGAGUUGCGAGUCGGUGACGGCAAGCUAAUCUCUUAAAGCCAAUCUCAGUUCGGAUUGUAGGCUGCAACUCGCCUACAUGAAGUCGGAAUCGCUAGUAAUCGCGGAUCAGCACGCCGCGGUGAAUACGUUCCCGGGCCU